RNAcentral lists this ribosomal RNA (430 nucleotides) under uncultured bacterium. Its description in RNAcentral is "bacterial SSU rRNA". It matches the Rfam family "Bacterial small subunit ribosomal RNA", at positions 8 to 483 of the family's 1533-position model. The record is from RNAcentral.
AGAGUUUGAUCCUGGCUCAGAGUGAACGCUGGCGGUGCGCCUAACACAUGCAAGUCGCGCGAGGAGCAAUCCUAGCGGCGAACGGCUGCGUAACACGUUGGUACAUACCCCGAACUCAGGGAUAACCCUCCGAAAGGAGGGCUAAUACCGGAUGGUCCCGUGAGGGUAAAGCUUCGGCGGUUCGGGAGUGGCCUGCGGCCUAUCAGAUAGUUGGUAAGGUAACGGCUUACCAAGUCUAUGACGGGUAGCUGAUCUGAGAGGAUGAUCAGCCAGAAUGGAACUGAGACACGGUCCAUACUCCUACGGGAGGCAGCAGUGAGGAAUCUUCCGCAAUGGGCGAAAGCCUGACGGAGCGACACCGCGUGAAGGAUGAAGCCCUUUCUGGGCGUAAACUUCUGUUCUGAGGGACGAAAUUUUGACGGUACCUCAG